AGCCAAGUACAUGCUAACAGUGCUCCACCUGUGAUGGUGGACGAGCAAAGUUGUAAACCCACCCCCACCCUCAAAGAUGUUUGGAACUUAGAAGUGCAUUGGGUCCUCUUCAUAGUGUGAUGUGCUUUAAGAAAAAAGGAAACAGGGAAUCCAGCAGAAUCUUGGAAUAAGGUGAAAUUUUUGAACUUGGAAUAACUUUCUCUCAACCCUAGGAAGAAAACAGCAAGGGCAAACCACUUCUGAAAUCUUGCCAAGAAAACUGCAGAGACUUGUUGCUAGGAUUCAAGACUCAAAGGCAUACACAUACAGACAACAUUUCUAUGCAACUUCCUCCUCAGACCUUUCCACAGAAAGGUGGAGACUUUUCUACAAGUUCAAAAGCAGAUCUGAUUAAUAGUGACAAUAACUGACAAUUGAGACAAUUUAUUUUUUAUUUUGCUUUUUGCUUUUUGUAAUGUCAAAUUCUACAGAGCUUGUGGGCAGGUUGUUUUCCAUUAGAAGAACAAAGAAUAAAGAAUAAUAGGGUUGGAAGAGAACUUGUAGGUCUAAUCCAACCACGUGCUCAAGCAAGAGGCACUAUUUUGGACAAAUGGCUGUCCAGUGUCUUCUUGAAAUCCUCUAGUGAUGGAGGGCAUCCACAACUGCUGGUGGCAAACUAUUCCAUUGAUUAAUUCUUCUCACCAUCAAGAAAUUUCUCCUUAGUUCUAGAUUGGAUCUCUCUCUAACGAUCUUCUAUCCAUUACUACUUGUCCUGCCCUCAAGUGCUUGGAGAAUAGGUCAACUCUGUCUUCUCUGUGGCAACCCCUCAAGCACUGGAAGAUGCGAACUUAUUGCUGCAGUCCUUCUCUUCAUAAGACGAGAUAUACUUAGUUGCCUCAAUUGUUCAUCAUAUGGUUUAGCCGCUAGACCCCUUAUAUUUGUUGCUUUUAUUCUUUCUAGAAUCUCAUCUUUUUUGUAUCUUAGCACCUGGAACUGGAUGCAAUAUUCCAAGUGUAGUCUCAUCAGUGCAAUAUAAAGCAGUAUUAUUACUUCAUGUGAUCCUAAAAUUAUCCCUCUUGAUGCAACCUAAGAUUGCAUUAGCUUUUCUGGGAGCUGCUGAACACUGCUGGUUCAAAACUGACUGGUGAUCUACUAGGACACCUAGAUCUCUUUCAUCUUCUCUUCUACCACCUGAGUUUCAGCAGUCUGAGUUUAUAUAUACAAUAUUCUGUUGUUGACGUCUGGUGGUCUUACGAAUUUUUACAACCCACAAGUGUCUGCCCAAUUAAUUUUAGUGCCACCAACUAGAAACUAAGCAUUUUGUUCAGAACUUACUAUAUCUUCUCAAUGUCAGUCACCAUUCCAGUUCUGAACAAUAUUGAGAAAAAUGCUUGGGUGUAAAACUGAUGAAGACAUUAUGUCAAUGGCACAACACUCAAUGGAAUUUUUAAUUAAGGAAGAAUUACGAUUUGAUAGUCAGGCAGCUUCAUCUUAUUACCAAUACUCCAAAUAAUCCAAACAAAUGCAUACAGCAUGUAUUGGAAAAAGGUAUGGAAAGACAAUAGCCAUUCAUUACAUUUCCCUUUGGUUAUGGGAUUUUUAUUGUUGCUUUAGGAAUAGCAACUAGUGUUGGCUUGGAAUACUUGUUCACUUACUUUUUGUAAGCUCCUACUGGUCAGCCAGAGGGAGAAUGCAGAUUGGUUCAUUAUGUUCUCAGCAUUCCAGGAGUGAAUAAAGUUGGCAAGUUUGCUGCAAGCUGCUUUUGAG
This is a non-coding RNA of Pantherophis guttatus, 1746 nucleotides long. Lineage: Eukaryota; Metazoa; Chordata; Lepidosauria; Squamata; Colubridae. The record is from RefSeq and is a predicted model, not a curated record.